UGAGGAAUAUUGGACAAUGGGUGGAAGCCUGAUCCAGCCAUCCCGCGUGAAGGAUGACGGUUCUAUGGAUUGUAAACUUCUUUUGUACAGGGAUAAACCUGCCCUCGUGAGGGCAGCUGAAGGUACUGUACGAAUAAGCACCGGCUAACUCCGUGCCAGCAGCCGCGGUAAUACGGAGGGUGCGAGCGUUAUCCGGAUUUAUUGGGUUUAAAGGGUCCGUAGGCGGGCCUGUAAGUCAGUGGUGAAAUCUCAUAGCUUAACUAUGAAACUGCCAUUGAUACUGCAGGCCUUGAGUAAAUUUGAAGUGGUUGGAAUAAGUAGUGUAGCGGUGAAAUGCAUAGAUAUUACUUAGAACACCGAUUGCGAAGGCAGGUCACUAAGAUUUAACUGACGCUGAUGGACGAAAGCGUGGGGAGCGAACA
RNAcentral lists this ribosomal RNA (422 nucleotides) under uncultured bacterium. RNAcentral's name for it is "bacterial SSU rRNA". It matches the Rfam family "Bacterial small subunit ribosomal RNA", at positions 355 to 774 of the family's 1533-position model. The record is from RNAcentral.